This is a non-coding RNA of Patiria miniata (bat star), 73 nucleotides long. NCBI's taxonomy places the organism in Eukaryota, Metazoa, Echinodermata, Asteroidea, Valvatida, Asterinidae. The record is from the annotation of a RefSeq genome assembly.
GGCUAGAUAGCUCACUCGGAAGAGCACCAGAACGACAAUCUGGAGGUCGCAGGUUCAAACCCUGCUCAAGUCA